This 485-nucleotide ribosomal RNA is filed under the name uncultured bacterium. RNAcentral describes it as "partial 16S ribosomal RNA". It matches the Rfam family "Bacterial small subunit ribosomal RNA", at positions 29 to 507 of the family's 1533-position model. The record is from RNAcentral.
AAUGAACGCUGGCGGCGUGCCUAACACAUGCAAGCCGGAUGUGCCGCAAGGUGCAUGGCAGACGGGUGAGUAACGCGUAGGGAAUCUACCUUUUUGUGGGGAAUAACGCUCCGAAAGGAGUGGUAAUACCGCAUGAGACCGUGAGCUGGGAUGUUCACGGUGAAACCUGGGGACCGCAAGGCCUGGGGCAAAAAGAGGAUCCUGCGUCUGAUUAGCUAGUUGGCGGGGUAAUGGCCCACCAAGGCGACGAUCAGUAGCCGGCCUGAGAGGGUGAUCGGCCACACUGGAACUGAGACACGGUCCAGACUCCUACGGGAGGCAGCAGUGGGGAAUUUUGCGCAAUGGACGAAAGUCUGACGCAGCAACGCCGCGUGGGUGAUGAAGGUCUUCGGACUGUAAAACCCUGUCGUCAGGGACGAAGGUGGCAGUGUUAAUAGCGCUGUUACUUGACGGUACCUGGAGAGGAAGCCCCGGCUAACUCUGUG